GAGGAAGUAAAAGUCGUAACAAGGUUUCCGUAGGUGAACCUGCGGAAGGAUCAUUAAAGAAUCGCCCCGUUUUUUAUAAAUGGGUUCUAUUCCCAAACCGUGUAUACAUACCUUUGUUGCUUUGGCAGGCCGCCUCCGGGCGUCGGCUCCGGCUGACAGUGCCUGCCAGAGGACCCAAACUCUGUGUUUAGUGAUGUCUGAGUACUAUAUAAUAGUUAAAACUUUCAACAACGGAUCUCUUGGUUCUGGCAUCGAUGAAGAACGCAGCGAAAUGCGAUAAGUAAUGUGAAUUGCAGAAUUCAGUGAAUCAUCGAAUCUUUGAACGCACAUUGCGCCCCUUGGUAUUCCGAGGGGCAUGCCUGUUCGAGCGUCAUUAUAACCACUCAAGCCUGGCUUGGUAUUGGGGUUCGCGGGUUCGCGGCCCUUAAAAUCAGUGGCGGUGCCGUCUGGCUCUAAGCGUAGUAAAUCUCUCGCUAUAGGGUCCUGGCGGUUGCUUGCCAAAACCCCCCUAUUUUCUCAGGUUGACCUCGGAUCAGGUAGGGAUACCCGCUGAACUUAAGCAUAUCAAUAAGCGGAGG
This 578-nucleotide ribosomal RNA is filed under the name uncultured fungus. RNAcentral's name for it is "eukaryotic LSU rRNA". The stretch from base 220 to 373 matches the Rfam family "5.8S ribosomal RNA". Lineage: Eukaryota; Fungi. The record is from RNAcentral.